ACUACGGGAGGCACCAGUGGGGAAUAUUGCACAAUGGGCGCAGGCCUGAUGCAGCCAUGCCGCGUGUGUGAAGAAGGCCUUCGGGUUGUAAAGCACUUUCAGCGGGGAGGAAGGCGGUGAGGUUAAUAACCUCAUCGAUUGACGUUACCCGCAGAAGAAGCACCGGCUAAGCCCGUGCCAGCAGCCGCGGUAAUACGGAGGGUGCAAGCGUUAAUCGGAAUUACUGGGCGUAAAGCGCACGCAGGCGGUCUGUCAAGUCGGAUGUGGAAUCCCCGGGCUCAACCUGGGAACUGCAUUCGAAACUGGCAGGCUAGAGUCUUGUAGAGGGGGGUAGAAUUCCAGGUGUAGCGGUGAAAUGCGUAGAGAUCUGGAGGAAUACAGGUGGCGAAGGCGGCCCCCUGGACAAAGACUGACGCUCAGGUGCGAAAGCGUGGGGAGCAAACAGGAUUAGAUACCCGUGUAGUC
RNAcentral lists this ribosomal RNA (465 nucleotides) under uncultured bacterium. Its description in RNAcentral is "bacterial SSU rRNA". It matches the Rfam family "Bacterial small subunit ribosomal RNA", at positions 338 to 795 of the family's 1533-position model. The record is from RNAcentral.